Molecule: long non-coding RNA, 815 nt
Filed under: Betta splendens (Siamese fighting fish)
Lineage: Eukaryota; Metazoa; Chordata; Actinopteri; Anabantiformes; Osphronemidae
Description: lncRNA (ENSBSLG00000007441.1)
Source: RNAcentral
UAGUGGCUCAGCACUGGGCUUAGAAAUGGGAUGGAGGGGAAGGAGACGGACACACACACACACACACACACACACACACACACACACACACACACACACACACACACACACACACACACAGCCACACACACACACACACACACGUCUCCUAAGUUCUACUUGGACAGAGCUGAAUAAAUGACUAAGGCAGCUGGCGUGGAGCUCGUCUGUGUCUAUAUCUGCUGAAUGAUUUUAACUUUAAGUUGCACUAAGCACAUUCGUUGCUCUCUAUCCAUCAUCUGAAUUUAAUGAGGUCAGUUCAUGGCAGGUGACAGACAACAAAGACUAAUCAAUUGUGCCAUCCCUCAUUCACAGGGGACACCAAAUGUCAUUACGUGUCACCACGCAAAGAGAGACUGUCAAUAUACUUAGGGAAAUGCAGCGGUGGCAGAAAGCUCAGAUCUAUUCUCAGCCCGGCUGGAUGUGAUGCUCUCUGAAGCCUUGGGCUGGAGGAAGGAGGUCAGUGUGCGACUGGAGCUGGAUGCUGUUCUGCCUGUUAUGAGUAGAGAAGGUAACCUCGCCUCAGGAUUCUCAUUUCUCUUAUUAUAUUGCAUAUUAGCUAUAGGUGGCUCACACCUCCCCAGGAAAGUCUGAGGCAGGACCCUGAUAGUCCAACAUGUGAUUCUGGAGCAGCUGUGAGGCUUCCACCCUGGUUGUGGAGGCUCAACCAGCUCUGAACUGAACCUUUAGCAGGGGUUUGGUAAAUGUGUAGAAAGCGUUCACUAACGGACAAGAUGCCAAAUAAAUCCCAAAUUUCCUUAGUUCCGUUUUAAAUG